GACGAACGCUGGCGGCGUGCUUAACACAUGCAAGUCGAACGGAAAGGUCCUGCUCUUGUUGGGUGCUCGAGAGGCGAACGGGUGAGUAACACGUGAGUAUCCUGCCCUUGACUGUGGGAUAACUUCAGGAAACUGGGGCUAAAACAGGAUAGGAGCUACUGCUGCACGGUGGGGGUUGGAAAGAUUCGGCGGUUGGGGAUGGUAUCGCGGCUUAUGAGCUUGAUGGGGGGGUAGUGGAUUACCAAGGCUUUGACGGGUAGCCCGCCUGAGAGCGUGACCGGCGACAUUGGGCCUAAGAGACGGACCAGAAUCCUACGGUCGGCAGCAGUGGGGAGUAUUACGCAAUGGGCGGACGCCUGAUGCAGCAACGCCGCGUGCGGGAUGACCGCCUUCGGGUUAUAAACAGCUUUCGCCGGUGACGUAGCGUUAGUGACGGUAAUGAGUAAGGAAGCACCGGCUAACUACGUG
This 468-nucleotide ribosomal RNA is filed under the name uncultured bacterium. RNAcentral's name for it is "partial 16S ribosomal RNA". It matches the Rfam family "Bacterial small subunit ribosomal RNA", at positions 28 to 507 of the family's 1533-position model. The record is from RNAcentral.